CGCCGGACUGCGCACACCUUUCCCAGACCCUGUAAACUAUCCAUUCACUUUGAUUCACUUCAGGACUCUAACUCUCUGAGCCUUGGACUCCAUCCACCAACAGUACACCAAGGGUAGCAGGUACUGCCAGCCCCCACAGUAAGUAGGCUACAUUUGAUCCAUAUUUUGGCUAACCAAUCAGAUAAGCAGUAUCAUUUUGAUCCAUAUUUUGGCUAACCAAUCAGAUAAGCAGUAUCUUUUUUUUUUCACUCCCUGUGUUAAAACAUCAAACCCAGAAUGUCUGUUUAAUGGAUCCAUAUUUAUCAAUUCAAUCUGACUUGGCUUUGUUCUUUCUGCCUUUAUUUCGUGCCCUUAAAUUCCAUCCCUGUACAUAUUUGCCCAGACUUUGCUUUAUGAGUUAAUAAACUCAGGAAGUUCUUUAGGAGCAGUCAUCUCCUCAUGAGACACACUGUAUACCUCACGAGACUUGAAUUCGACUGUAGGUCUCCAGGAAAAAUGCGCUCUCAUGACAAGAACUGUACUAACUGAGCCAUCCAGCAUCAUGUGAUUAAAGAAGCAAAAUUAGGGUCGGUUGAGAGAAGGGGGUCACUCAGAGCCAAGUCAACUCUUGAUACAGCAUGCGCCUGAAUCCCAGAGUAACUCCAGAGGAGCUGGCCUAGAUGUCAAAAUGAAGUAAAGGGCGGUGGACAGCUUAGUGGGUAAGGCACCUGUGUGUACGUGUGAGGAGUGGACUUCGGCCACCUGAAAUCCCAGCACAAGAGGCAGCUGAAUGACGGUGCGACAGGCUGAGACUGACUGGAACUGGCAAGCUCUGGAUUCAGCAAGACCAUGCUUCAGUAACUAAAGUGAGGAUUGACAGAGGAAGACGACAGAGCGAGCCCUGGCCUCCACGCCCACUCCCAGGAGAGCCGAGGCAGAAGGCACCCACUGUGAAACAGCACACUGUAAGCCGAGAAGGAGCUACUGCGCACCAGAGUCCAGCCUUCCAACACAGGCACACCGACCACGUCAGACACCAGGACAUGGUCAUCCAUGGGAAAGCCAAACCUUGAUCUCAGAACAAACAUCAAACGGAGCAAGACAUUUAAGACUUCUGUAGCCCUAACAGAGAGGAAGCCAAACCCAGCUAACCAACAGCUUCAUAAACCUCAACCUAUGAUAGAGGAGUUACUAGAAUGUUUACUAAAGAUUAUUAAAGGCGUCACCAAAUCCCAUGUAUCAGCAGAGCAGACUUUUGAUAUGUGCAGAGACUCCACGAAAUGGAAACUGAAGCCAGACUCCAUUCCCGAGUCUGUGAGAAGAGAGAGGGAAAGCCCUGGCUACAGCAAUGGUAGACUUUCAGACAGCCAAGCAUACUUACCUUGUUUUUAACUCUUUUCCAUUGCCAGGAAUCUCCAAGGGAAAUGACCAGGUACAUGUUCCUUGAAGGAGAUGCAGAGACUCAGCGCAUGGUGCUGAUGACGCGGCAGCAGCUUUGUACAGCUUCUCAGCAAGUCACCCCACGGAUGGGGAGGUUGUUCAGGGAAAGGACACAACACACAUUUAGGAACACAUGGGACCAAGGUCCUCACAGCCACCUUCUGAGGAACCUACCACUGUUGAAAACAGUUGGCAUACACAAAAACAGCCUGUCCCAAGUCACUGACCAGUGAGAGGCAGAACCUGGAUUGGUCUCUGUUCUUAACCACACCUUAGUUUGAAUGAACUAAAAACGUGGUUAAAAAGACCUUAGUCUCCCCCCAUUUACAAGCCUAUGAAUCCUGGCACCUAAGCCCGGUGGUACAAUGUACCAGUCUGGUGCUGGCUACCCACUUCCUUCCAGUACAGGAGAAUGAAUCAAGGGAGACCAAGUGUAAUGUUCUUGUCAGUUUUUAUUAUUUCCCAUUCUAAAGACAAGCACAUUUACAGCAUACAUGGCUUUAAGUGAGCUAAGAAUAUAUAAAACAGUAACUAUAUGUUCAUAUAUAUUAAUACUGUCCCAAACAAAUAAAUACAAGUAUUUAAAUGCACUAAGCUUGGCAAGUACAAGUGUGUGUGUGUGUGGGGGGGGGG
Peromyscus maniculatus bairdii (prairie deer mouse) is the source of this 2052-nucleotide non-coding RNA. Lineage: Eukaryota; Metazoa; Chordata; Mammalia; Rodentia; Cricetidae. The record is from RefSeq and is a predicted model, not a curated record.